This 1377-nucleotide long non-coding RNA is filed under the name Zonotrichia albicollis (white-throated sparrow). Its description in RNAcentral is "lncRNA (ENSZALG00000011085.1)". Lineage: Eukaryota; Metazoa; Chordata; Aves; Passeriformes; Passerellidae. The record is from RNAcentral.
AGUAAAUCUUUAUGGUUUCACACCUCAGAUUCAUGAAUUGUCUAAGUCUUUCAAUUUCCCUUCGAUAGACAGCUACCCCAUCUCCCUGAUCAUAAUGCUUGUCCUUCAUUUCACCUUCUCCAACUUCAGCAUGUCUGUCUUGGGGUAUGUAAGACAGAAAUGUACACAAAUCUGUUCAAGAUGUGGGUGCAUGACACCUUUUAGAUACAAAAAUAUGUAUCCUAUUUUGCUGUCCACAGUUUCAUGAUGGUGCCCAGAAUCUCAUUGGCUUUUUCAGUGGCCACUGCGCAUUGAGUCGAAGAUUUCAAACAUCUGACAUCAUGAAACCAAGAUUUCUUACCUGAACAAUAACUGCCAUUUUCAUGUCCAGCUUUAUGAACCUUCAGGUUCAUGGUUUAGGUUUUCUGGCUCUUUUUCUUACUUGCAUUAUUUUAGGUUUAUCCACAUCAGAGUUUAUUUGCCUGCCAUUUGUAAAUUUUUAUGAGAUCUGUCAGCAUCUCCUUGUCAGCAGAAAAGUGGUUUUCAUAUCUACAGAGUUGGAUAUUCCUCUACUUAUUUUUUCUCCAGGUCAUGGACAAAGAUGUUGAAUAAAAUUGCUUCCAGGACCAAUCCCUAUUGACUUGUCUCUUGAAAAGUCUCUUCUCUUUAAUAUUCCUUGCCUUUCAUCCAUGCAUUUACAGUCCCCCUGCUAGAACUUCAGCAGAUUAUUGAGAUGAACAGACCGAUCCAGGUGAAGCCAGCGGACAGCGAAAGCCGAGGAGAUCUGAACAUCUCUUAUGACCUGCGGUGUUUUUCCUUCAGCUCUAAGAUAAAUCUGAUCCAGAAAGAGCUUUUCAGUGCUCAUGGAAAUCUUGUCUUCCUAGCUGUAGCUAGUUGUGGGACUGAUUACAGUCAAUGGAAAAUCAAAAUCUCUUGCUUUAUUGUGGAAUUUCAGCACUAUGUGACCCUACUGACAGCUGACACUCUGCUGUCCUCAGAAAGCUGUAUUUUCAAGCAGGGAGAGUGUACCAGCAUGCAAAUGGAUCAGUUAAUUCAAAGUGGCCCUGGAUGACCCUGUUCACGCUCUCCAUUCUCUGUUAAAACUUAAUUCUGGGUGAGAAAAAGGGCUUCAGCAGAUCCUCACGUGUAGUGUUUUAUAUUUGAUGACUCUGCUGAAGGCUGAUGUGCUCCAUUCUGCAGUCAAAUGUUGAAAGAAUAUAAGGGACAUCAAACUUUUGUUCACAUCUGCCCUUCCCAUGGUGAUUGAAAUCAAUGGAAGUGUGCCCAUCAAUAGGAACUGGAAAAGAUCCACAGGACAUUGUGUUCUAGUACAUGUCCUAAGGACACCCUUUUAAAAUCAAGUAUUAGGGGAAUAAAAGGAAAAAAACCCAAAAACCA